AUACGUAGGGUGCGAGCGUUGUCCGGAAUUACUGGGCGUAAAGAGCUCGUAGGUGGUUUGUCGCGUCGUCUGUGAAGUUCCGGGGCUUAACUCCGGGCGUGCAGGCGAUACGGGCAUAACUUGAGUACUGUAGGGGAGACUGGAAUUCCUGGUGUAGCGGUGAAAUGCGCAGAUAUCAGGAGGAACACCGGUGGCGAAGGCGGGUCUCUGGGCAGUAACUGACGCUGAGGAGCGAAAGCAUGGGUAGCGAACAGGAUUAGAUACCCUGGUAGUCCAUGCCGUAAACGGUGGGCGCUAGGUGUAGGGGUCUUCCACGACUUCUGUGCCGUAGCUAACGCAUUAAGCGCCCCGCCUGGGGAGUACGGCCGCAAGGCUAAAACUCAAAUGAAUUGACGGGG
This 398-nucleotide ribosomal RNA is filed under the name uncultured bacterium. RNAcentral's name for it is "partial 16S ribosomal RNA". It matches the Rfam family "Bacterial small subunit ribosomal RNA", at positions 523 to 918 of the family's 1533-position model. The record is from RNAcentral.